GAUGAACGCUGGCGGCGUGCCUAAUACAUGCAAGUCGAGCGAACAGACGAGGAGAUUGCUCUUCUGACGUUAGCGGCGGACGGGCGAGUAACACGUGGAUAACCUACCUAUAAGACUGGGAUAACUUCGGGAAAACGGAGCUAAUACCGGAUAAUAUAUUGAACCGCAUGGUUCAAUAGUGAAUGACGGUUUUGCUGUCACUUAUAGAUGGAUCCGCGCCGCAUUAGCUAGUUGGUAAGGUAACGGCUUACCAAGGCGACGAUGCGUAGCCGACCUGAGAGGGUGAUCGGCCACACUGGAACUGAGACACGGUCCAGACUCCUACGGGAGGCAGCAGUAGGGAAUCUUCCGCAAUGGGCGAAAGCUUGACGGAGCAACACCGCGUGAGUGAUGAAGGUCUUCGGAUCGUAAAACUCUGUUAUUAGGGAAGAACAAAUGUGUAAGUAACUAUGCACGUCUUGACGGUACCUAAUCAGAAAGCCACGGCUAACUACGUG
Molecule: ribosomal RNA, 497 nt
Filed under: uncultured bacterium
Lineage: Bacteria
Description: partial 16S ribosomal RNA
Rfam family: Bacterial small subunit ribosomal RNA
Source: RNAcentral